CCUACGGGUGGCAGCAGUGAGGAAUAUUGGUCAAUGGCCGUAAGGCUGAACCAGCCAAGUCGCGUGAAGGAAGAAGGAUCUACGGUUUGUAAACUUCUUUUAUAGGGGAAUAAAGGUAUCCACGUGUGGAGAUUUGCAUGUACCCUAUGAAUAAGCAUCGGCUAACUCCGUGCCAGCAGCCGCGGUAAUACGGAGGAUGCGAGCGUUAUCCGGAUUUAUUGGGUUUAAAGGGUGCGUAGGUUGUUUUUUAAGUCAGCUGUGAAAGUUUGUGGCUCAACCAUGAAAUUGCCGUUGAAACUGGCAGACUUGAGUGUGUUUGAGGUAGGCGGAAUGCGUGGUGUAGCGGUGAAAUGCAUAGAUAUGACGCAGAACUCCGAUUGCGAAGGCAGCUUACUAAGCCAUAACUGACGCUGAAGCACGAAAGCGUGGGGAUCAAACAGGAUUAGAUACCCGAGUAGUC
This 460-nucleotide ribosomal RNA is filed under the name uncultured bacterium. RNAcentral's name for it is "partial 16S ribosomal RNA". It matches the Rfam family "Bacterial small subunit ribosomal RNA", at positions 338 to 795 of the family's 1533-position model. The record is from RNAcentral.